CUCAAAAGGACCCGAUAAUAAAAUGGCCGAGUGUCCGAUCCUUCUCUCUUAAAACCCCCUGGCUUUCUCUUUUCUCUAUCUAAACCCAAUCCCGGCACAACAACCUCCGACUCGCCAAGUCCUUGCCUGGUCAGGCCCGUGCUUUCACACGACUCCGAAGCAUCCUAUAAUCCUGUCUCGUUUACUGCAUUAGUUUUGAUCAAAGGUUUUUUUAAAAAUCUUUCGUAGAUCCAGCUCGCGGUUCUUUGAGCAUCGAAUUACUUUAAUAGCUGAAUAAGAUCAAUGGAGGUUAUUUACUUGUGAGUUUUAUUGAGGAAAAAAAGUGAAUUUUUUAGGGAUCUUUUUUUGAUAGAGGAUGAGAGAAGGGUUGAGAUCUAGUGUCAAUUUAUUGGCGAAAAUGGAGAAAAAUGAGGUUUCUCCGAGCAAGGAAAUGGUUACUGAGAAAGUUGGUGGUUUGAAACAAGGAGAUUGUGAAUUCACUGACGAGGAGAACCCGAAAUUGAAUCAAGAAGAGGCGUUAAAAGAAGAAAUGGAAGUGGAUCAGAGAGAUAGGCUUAAAAUCGAAGAAUGUGAAGGAGGGAAUGAUUUGAGGGAGUGUAAUGCUGUUGAGGGUAGUACGAAUAGAAGGAAAAGAAGUAUGGUUGAUGGUGAGGGAGAGAUUGAGGAUGGUGGUGUUGAAAAGAAGAAGCUAAAGGAGGGUGCGGAUGGUGAAAAUGUGGUUGUCGUCAGGGUUCUGCGGUCAAGGUCUGUGACAAAAACUAAGAGUAGGAAGGAGAUUGAUAGAGGGCAGCAGACCGGAGGGAGUGAUGGCUCUGAGAGGAAAAGGGUUGAGGUAAAAAUAGAAGAGAGGGAUCAUUCUGAUGGUGAAGACAGUGGGAAAUUAGAUAAUGAGGCCAGGGAUAAAUCAAAGCAAAAUCAUGGUAGCUCACCCAAGGACCAGAAGAGUGACAGGACUGAGAAGAGAUUGGCUGAGGUGAAAAAGAAAGAUAGUGAUCAUUCUGAUGGUGAAGACCCUGACCAGUCAGAUAACGAUGCAGGGAGAAUGUUAAAGCACAAGCGUGGGAGGCCCUCCAAGGCUCAGAAGAGUGAUGGGCCUGAGAAGAAAAGGAUUGAGGUGGUAAAUGAAGAAAGUCAUCAAUCUGCUGGUACAGAGAUUGAACAGGCAGAUAAUGAGGCAAGGGAAAAGUUAAAGCCCAAGUGCGGGACACCCCCCAAGGUUCAGAAGAAUGAUGUGUCUGAGAAGAAAAGGGUUGAGGUGAAAAGGGAAGAGAGUGAUCAAUCUGCUGGCGAAGAGAGUGAUCGAGCACAUAGUGGGGCAAGGAAAAUAUUAAAGCAUAAACAUGGAAUGUGCCACAAGGGGCAGAAGAGUGAUGGAUCCGAGAAGAAAAGAGUCAAGGUGGGUAAAGAAGGCAGCCAUCAAUCUGCUGGUGAAGAGAGUGAACUGUCAGGUAAUGAGAUGAGUGAAAAAUUAAAGCCUAAGCGUGGGAGACCCCCCAAGGCUAAGGAGAGUGAUGAGUCUGGGAAGAAAAGUAUUGAGGUGGUUGAUGGUGACUCUGCAGAAUCUUCUGGUCAAGAGAGUGAUGAAUCUUAUGGUAAAGUGGGGCAGAAGCGGAAGCCUAAGCGUGGGAGACCCAGCAAGUUGAACAAGGGUGUAAAGGUGGGUGGGCUGAGGAAAAGACAGUGGGGGGAAAUGACAAGACAUAAUAAGAACCACAAUGUGGGAGCUAGAAGUGCAGUAUCUGGAAAGAAACUUGGGAAAAAAUCUAAUGCAACAAAGUUAGCCACAGCUAGGAAGAACAAAUGCAGCAAUGAUGAAAAGGAAGAGGGGAGAAGUAUACAGAAGGCAGUAGUGAGAGAAAAAAUUAUAGAACUUCUUUUGGGUGCAGGCUGGACAAUUGAGCGUAGGCCUAGGAAUGGUAGAGAGUACUGUGAUGCUGUGUAUGUUAAUCCUGAAGGAAGGACUCAUUGGUCUGUUACCUUGGCUUACCGGGUGCUUAAGCAGCAUUAUGAAGGUGGUGGUGGUGAUUCAAAUACUUGUAAGACUGGUUUCAAGUUUACUCCUCUACCAGAUGAAGAACUCAGCAUACUAGCAAAAGUAAUAGGCAAGGAAAGGAGUGAUAAAAAUAAAAAGAAAAAGAAAUGGAAGCAAGUGAAGGAUGGGAAAACAGGUGAAGGAGUUGCAAAAGAGAAAAAUAAGAAAGGAAAACUGCACAAGAGAAAACAGGAUGCUUUGGCAAUUCCCGGACGUAAGAAGUUGAAGGACAGUACAAAACGGAAAUCUUCUCUCUGCGAACAGGAUGACUGUGCGGGUAUGUCAGAUGACGGAACAACAGUCAGGGAUUUUAAGCAACUCAAAACACAUAAUAGAAAGCGGUGUGCUCUAAUGAUUCGCAACUCCAAGGAGGGUGCAGGUUCAGAUGGUGGUGGCUAUGUGCUUUAUAAUGGGAAGCGAACUGUACUAGCCUGGAUGAUUGACAUGGGCACUGUUCCAUUGGCUGGAAAGGUGCAGUACUUGAAACGCAGGAAGACACGAACAGUCCUGAAGGGUAAAAUCACAACAGAUGGCAUUCAGUGUGAUUGUUGUGGUGAAACUUUUGCAAUCUCGGACUUCGAGGCUCAUGCAGGCAGCAAAUCCUGCCAGCCACUCAAAAACAUAUUCUUAGAGAAUGGACCUUCACUCUUGCACUGCCAGCUAGAGUCAUGGCAUAGACAAGAUGAAUCUGAUCGUAAAGGGUUCCAUUUUGUUGAUAUUGAUGGUCAAGAUCCAAAUGAUGAUACAUGUGGGAUCUGUGGAGAUGGUGGAAACCUUAUUUGCUGUGAUAGUUGCCCAUCAACAUUUCAUCAAAGCUGCCUAGAGAUAAAGAAGCUCCCUUCAGGGGUCUGGAAUUGCACAUAUUGUUCAUGCAAAUUUUGUGGGAUGGCUGGUGGGGAUGCAUGUCAGAUGGAUGAGAAUGAUGCUGCUGCCCGACCUGCAUUACUGACAUGUUGUUUGUGUGAGGAGAAAUAUCACCACUCUUGUAUUCCUGCUGAGGACACUAUAAAUGAUUAUCACAGCAGUCUAUCCUUCUGCGGGAAGAAAUGCCAAGAGUUACAUGAUAAACUCCAGGCGCUUCUUGGGGUUAAACAUGAAAUGGAAGAGGGCUUUGCAUGGACUGUUGUUCGCAGAUUUGAUGUUGGCUCUGAUAUUACUCUCAGUGGAAUGCAUCGGAAAGUUGAAUGCAAUUCCAAGGUAGCUGUUGCGUUGCACAUAAUGGAUGAGUGCUUUUUGCCCAUGCCUGACCAUAGAAGUGGGGUUAACCUGAUUCGUAAUAUUGUAUAUAAUUUUGGGUCAAACUUCAAUCGACUGAACUACUGUGGUUUUCUGACUGCAAUUCUAGAGCGAGGGGAUGAAGUAAUCUCUGCUGCAUCCAUUAGGAUCCAUGGGAACCAGUUAGCAGAGAUGCCAUUCAUUGGGACCCGCCACAUGUACAGGCGGCAAGGAAUGUGCCGCCGGCUUCUAGGUGCAAUUGAAACUGCUCUCUGCUCUCUAAAUGUCGAGAAAUUGGUCAUACCUGCAAUCUCUGAGCUAAGGGAAACCUGGACUUCUGUUUUUGGUUUUAAACAACUUGAAGGAUUGAGCAAGCAAAAAAUGAGGUACAUGAAAAUGGUGGCAUUCCCUGGCGUUGAUAUGUUACAAAAACCUUUGUUGAAGGAUCAUCAGUUUGCUGAAGCAAAUACGGUUCCCACUGAAGGUUUGACAUCCUUGGAACUCAAGGAACAAUAUACCAUAGAUGAGAUAUCAUGUAAUUCUGAUGAGAAAUGUUCGUCAGUGAGAUUUGAUUUAAAAGGUUCUAGUGAAAUUAGUAUACCUCAUACUGGCAACAUAAAUGAUCAAGCUGCUGCAGUUGAAUCUGGUUCCCUUCCUGAUUGCCUGAAUGAUAUUUCCGAUGUUACAAGUGAAAAUACUAAUCUACCUGCUUGUCCCAAGGACAAAGCUGUUGAUCAAUUAAGUGCGGUUUCUAUUUCUUUGUGUGAUGCCAAUGAACAAACUAGAGAGGUGACUGAACAUCAGAGUGCUGUUUCUGGUUCCAUUGCUACCUCUGAUUGUGAGAGGAAGCUGAAAGGGGAUACACAUAAGGACCAGAAUGAUGUUUCCAAGAUCGAAAGCAAGCUGUUUGACGUAUCUUUUAUUGGGUCUGAAGCGGCUGACUCUCAAGGGAAGUGUCAGUGUGCUUCCAGGGAGGUUACUGAGACUGUUCCUUGUGAAGUGAAAGGUGAAGAUAGCAGCGAUAGACAGAACCUCGAUUCGCUUGAUGAUGAUUCUAUGCCCACUUCAAAAAUCAUAGCAAGUCAACUCCAGUACUUUGCUUUUGGGCACGAACUUAAAGUUUCAGAUAUCAAUGCUGUUCACUACGAGUCCACUACCUGCAAUAUUUCCAGUGAUAUAGUUCAAUCAACAACCACAACAGUUCCCCAGAAAGUGCAAGAUGCUGUUUAUGGUCAUUGUGGGGCAUUGCCUGUCGACCAAAAUAUUAGCACUUCUUGUCAGGGCAAGGGGCCUAAUGCGAAGGACAUGGUUGUCCUGGCUACUGCUGAUUCCAAUUCUGUAGAUUCUGAUGUCACUGCAAAAGCAGAUCUGCAAUCUUGCAGAAGUAAUGGAUCUUGUAUUGCCACAGAGCUCAUAGUGAGCCCUUGUGGAGUUGAUGCGGAUGGCGUCCAUGACAUUGAAGAAGUGUCUGACACAGUUCAAAGUGAUGCGCUUUCUCCUGAUGGAGGUUUAAUUUCUGAUGGGCCUCGGAUUAAUACCAAAUCUUCAGAGCACCCCAAUUCUGUUUCUGAGGUCGAGCCUGCUAAUUUGACACAGUGCGCCUCUGAACCUUUACGCAAUUCAAGCUCUGCUCCUGGUGUUGGCCUGCACUGUGCCUCUGGUGAUGGUAAUUCAUGCGGUGCACCUGAGGUGAUAAUUUUGUCAAAUCAGGCUAGUUGAUUCCGAUUGGCAUACUCUUUUUGGCGAUAGAAAGAUGGCAUUUUGUGGAUGGCGGCCAUGGAUAAAUGUGAUGGAGUUUUCUUGCAGAACUUGGAUGUUCUCUUCACAGACCGUGUUAUGCGAUUUUGUCAUUGAUUAGGAUGCCGAUAUAGCAUUCGGAUGCCUCAUUUGAUGGUGAUGAUUGAUGACAGCUUUGGCAGGUGUUCACAGACAAAGGUUGUCGUCUUAAUCAUAUGCCCAUCAAACAUUAUAGAGGACAUCUUUUUGUACAGUUAGAGCAGUCCAAGUCUUCAGUACUUUCCAAGUCACAUGUUAGAUUUUAGAUGCAUUUGAGGGUUGUGCAUCUUGACCUCUCCUAUGCCUAACGUGUUGAUAAAAUGGCCAUGCUUAAUACGCAGUCACCUGCUUGUCCUUUUCCCUGUCGAGAAUGGAAUUGGUUAUUCGUGGUUAAAAAUAAGAGAGAAAAGAAAGGAAAAUCCCCCUGAUAUGUAAAAUUAUUGAAUUCUAUGAUACUAAGUGAAAAAUGUCUUCAGAGAAGGCAUUUUUCUUCUUUAACCAAGGCAAGUUGCAUCUACACGUUAAUUUUAUAAAUUUAUUUUUAUUCCCAAUGUAUUUUUCUUAGAUAAACCACAGCUAACUUUUGAGAAAUUUGAUUAGUAAGUUAUUAUUCUCGUCAAA
Molecule: RNA transcript, 5644 nt
Organism: Populus trichocarpa (black cottonwood)
Lineage: Eukaryota; Viridiplantae; Streptophyta; Magnoliopsida; Malpighiales; Salicaceae
Exons: 10
Source: RefSeq, a predicted model, not a curated record